RNAcentral lists this ribosomal RNA (608 nucleotides) under uncultured Synechococcus sp. RNAcentral's name for it is "bacterial SSU rRNA". It matches the Rfam family "Bacterial small subunit ribosomal RNA", at positions 31 to 689 of the family's 1533-position model. The record is from RNAcentral. Lineage: Bacteria; Bacillati; Cyanobacteriota; Cyanophyceae; Synechococcales; Synechococcaceae.
AACCGUGCGGCGUGCUUACACCUGCAGUCUGAACGAACCUUCGGGUUAGUGGCGGACGGGUGAGUAACGCGUGAGAAUCUGCCCUCAGGAGGGGGAUAACGGCUGGAAACGGCCGCUAAUACCCCAUAUGCCGCGAGGUGAAAUGAAUUUCGCCUGAGGAUGAGCUCGCGUCUGAUUAGCUAGUUGGUGGGGUAAGAGCCUACCAAGGCAUCGAUCAGUAGCUGGUCUGAGAGGAUGAUCAGCCACACUGGGACUGAGACACGGCCCAGACUCCUACGGGAGGCAGCAGUGGGGAAUUUUCCGCAAUGGGCGAAAGCCUGACGGAGCAACGCCGCGUGAGGGAUGAAGGCCUCUGGGCUGUAAACCUCUUUUAUCAAGGAAGAAGAUCUGACGGUACUUGAUGAAUAAGCCACGGCUAAUUCCGUGCCAGCAGCCGCGGUAAUACGGGAGUGGCAAGCGCUAUCCGGAAUUAUUGGGCGUAAAGCGUCCGCAGGCGGUUUUGUAAGUCUGUUGUUAAAGCGUGGAGCUUAACUCCAUUUGAGCAAUGGAAACUGCAAGACUAGAGUGUGGUAGGGGCAGAGGGAAUUCCCGGUGUAGCGGUGAAAUGC